UUCCCAUCCCGAACACGGAAGUUAAGCCCUCCUGCGCCGAUGGUACUUGGGACGUUGGUCCCUGGGAGAGUAGGUCGUUGCCAGAU
This 86-nucleotide ribosomal RNA is filed under the name Heliobacterium mobile. The record is from RNAcentral. Lineage: Bacteria; Bacillati; Bacillota; Clostridia; Eubacteriales; Heliobacteriaceae.